Molecule: long non-coding RNA, 8183 nt
Organism: Malaclemys terrapin pileata
Lineage: Eukaryota; Metazoa; Chordata; Testudines; Emydidae
Exons: 4
Source: RefSeq, a predicted model, not a curated record
AGAGCAAAUGAUUAGAACUUGUUGGAACAUUUUUGACAAAAUUAUUUUGGUUGAAAUAUGCUAUUUCAUCAUAGCUGAAAGAUUUUGUGGAUACCUAUCUAUUUUGACAACGUUUUUGAUAGGAAGGCUCUGAAGUCCACAACUCUUUGGUCAUUUUUGAGCAGUGAUAGAGAGAUGAAUUGAAAACCUGACUUAUUCAAUUUGGAAAUGAACAUUUCAACACAAUUCAAUUUAGUGAAAAUGUUGGACAGGUUUUGGUGUUUUGUUUUUUUUCCCCUAAUGUGGAAUGAAAACAAAUUCGGGAACCUCAAAAGUUGACAUGAAAUGGAACUAUUGUCCUAUGGACAGAGCAACAAAUUAUACCACUACCUAUUUAAGGCCCCUUGACAUGACUAGAGUGGUGUAAAUGAGAAUCAAACCCUAAAUGUACAGCACCCAGCACAAUGGGGCCCGAUCCUAACUGAGGCCUUUACAUGCUACCAUAAUAUAAAUAUUUGCUACUCUUUACAGCUAUACCUAGUGCUUUGUGUACCAAGUAGUGUGUAAGGGAGUCUAGCUGAGGUGCUAGUAUAGAGCACGCUGGGAAUCAAAGCAAAAUGAAGAGAACUGCAAUGAAUAGUGCCUGCCUCAUUCUUUGCAUGAUGAUUUGACGUAUCAGCAGUUGCUGCACACUGUAACCCAAAGGCGAACAGCAGAUACUAGGUGCUGUAUUUUUUUCCAUCUCUUAACUUUUGCGUGUAGGAAUUUAUUGCUUGUGUAUUUAGUCUCCUUUUUAGGAGGAAAAAAGAUACCAAAGGCAUCUUCCUAUAAGUGCAAUAUUGACCACCCCUCUGAAGAGGGGAGAGACCAAAAAGGAACCAGGGUCAGCCAAUUAUGGGAGAAAAAUGUUAAACAUGGGGCAAAAUAAUGAGGGAUUGAAUAAGGAUUUUAGUCAUGUGGCUGGAGAGGAAAGGUUGGCUCUUAGAGAUGUUGUGUAGGAAAAAGCAGGAAGAUUUAGACACAGACUGAAAGUGCAGCACCAAAGAGAGUGCUGAGUAAUUGUUGAUGCCCUAUAACAGGCCCGAGGGAACAGGUGUCCCCACACUGCUCUGCACAUGUGACUCAACAUCUAAGAGGUUUCUACUGAGCCUGAAGAUUAGGUCCAAUUGUGGUAGUUUUUGAGAUGUGGAUAGCUGUUCACUGGGAAGCACUCUGAGACCAACACAAUUCAUUUUACACAUCCAAGGGACAACGGAGGGUCACUUUUAGUCACUACUAACUACUAAGUUAGAUUUGAACUGUGUUCUAGAGAUGAAAAGCUCUAUCCCUCUUUACAAAUGAGCUGAGCCAUCCAGUCUCCCUUUUAUUUGGAUUUUUCAUUUGCUUAGAAUUGAAGCAUAUGCUCUUGUCUGAAUGCCAGUCCAUCUCUAAUGCUAAAAUGUUCGUUAGCUUUAACUAACUUAUAGCCUUAUUUUCAGUGAGAUGGAUGUGACAACCUAAGCAUAUGCAAUGCUUUUAUGCAAAAGGAUGCCAAUGGAUUAUCUGGAUGUAUUUUUAUGCGAGAGCCACAGGGACAGAGUUACUAGAUUUGAAGAAGUGAGGAAUGCUUAGUAGUUUUAAGAUGCUCCACCACUCUGCUUCAUCUAGUGAAAUCCACCACCUCCUGAGCUGCUUCUCACCACUUUCAAAGCGUUAUAUAACUCUGUCCCUCCCUGGUCAUCAUCCCUUGUCAAUGUUCACAGCGUUUCUCCUGCCAAUGUUCCCAGACUUGCCAUCCCAUGUGUCAGUUUCCUGUAUGGUUACCUCUAUCCAUGGUAUGAUCUCCCUCACCUCAUUUGCAAGGCCCCUACCCUGUCUACAUUUGACUUCAUCUUAAAGAUCCACUUCUGCCAUGCUGCUUAACAGUGAAUUGAGUUGACUUGCAUGUAGAUAUAUAGCCUGCAGAUGUACCCUUUCCUCUGGCCCUCUAACUCCUUGUCUUUUCCUUAGACUAUGAGCUCCUAGGAUCAGGGACUGUCCCUUCUUGUACGUCUGAAAGGUACUUAGCAUGUCAUGGGCACGAACAUCAGCAAUUAUAACAACAUUAUAAAAUUAACAUAAGGGAUGGUAAAAUAAAUAACAAUAAAAAUACAACAUGAAUAAAGUUGUAAGAAAUGGUAUAAAAGAAACCUUAGUUAAGCACCUGCUUAACUAGAUACCCAGACCACCUUUCUAAGGGUUCUUUUAAUUUCAAUUGCUCCAUUAAAGAAAAGGACUCAAGAGUUUAAUUUAGUUUUAUAGAGUGCUAUGAGAUAUUCUUAACAACAGUAACUAAUAGUAUAGGAUAUAAGACAACAAAUCGUAUUUGGCUAACAAACCAGAAAGUUGGGCAAUGUAACCACUCAGGUUUGUCAGAAUCAAAUUACAGAACCACAAUAGAAAAUAACAUGUACAUAAUCACUAUCUUGGGAAGAUAACUUUGUUUAGAUUUUUGACAAAGAAUCUCUCAAAACAGGGCCUCGCUUUUGUCAGUUUAUCAGUUUUGGUGUUGCUAAGUCUACAGAGGAAAAAAACAAAGCUAAAGCAAAAGACAAUUUGGUCAAUUACUUACAUGCCAAUUCACCAAGGCCUCCUUCCCAAUGGAUCUAUAUAGUCUACCCUUUUAAACUACUUCCCCACAAAUUAUAUUUGCCCCAGGACCUGACUAUCACUCCUAACUAUCUAACAAACUCCUACAUUUAUGACAGACUGUGUAGAUGUUCAGGAGGCAUGUAGAGUUGGUCUGUUUUAUGUCUACAUGCACAGAAAACUUGAAAGGCAGUAUGAAAGCAUUAACUAUGGUAGACAUAUGUACAAUAUUCUGCAAUCUUAGUUAACAACAGUAACUUGCUUAGUUUCAAAACUACUACAAUCUUGAUUGGAACCUGUUACAAAACAAGGGGACACUCUGUAACUCUGUGACGAUGUUUAAAGUGCAUACACAACCAUAUACAUUUCCUUACUAAGUGGGUACCCAGUUUCGGGGAGUGGUCAACUGACUGACUUAGGUAGUCACUCAAGACAAAGUCUCUGUGUUACUCAUCAUCAGAUCUUUGCUCAGCCAUUAGCUUUAAGCUCCAGUUACUGUUCACAGCAGGAACUGACACAGAAAAACAGGUGAACGACUGACACGACUAUAGUAUUUUCCAAGUGUGCUAGCAGGCAAUCUGAAUUGCUGGAAAAUAGAAAGACGCAAUUAGAGGUAUCUGAGAUAGGUACUUGUUGUCACCUGGAAAACUCCCAGGUAGCUGACCCAGGACGUCCGUCUUCUCCCUUCCAGGUGUCUUCAGCUUUCAGGAAGCAGUGUGCUGAAGGAGAAAGGGCCUUUUAUCCCAUUUCUGCUGGGUGAUCCAACUUGUUUCCUCUUUUUGGAGAUGCUGGUGUGGACAGUCAGAAGGUGAUCCAUUCUUCUUCCAAAGAUUUAAAAUGUCCAAUCAAAAUGAGAGUUGUUCUUGCUCACCAUCCAUUCAGGCAAUGAGACAUCACCUUUGAGUUCUUGCAACUGGGACUAGAAUUUUCUAGUUUCUUUGUGCAACGCAUCUUGUCACACCAGCUUGUGUAAGACAUGUUAAGCUACAGCCAUCUGGGGGCAUACAUUGAAUACUGAUUGAUUUGUUCUGGUCAGUGACUGACUUCUGCAAGUCACUUUCUGUAGCCUCCUCUCUGGUGCAUUCCUUGGUCAAUUUUUCAGUUAUGCGUGCUCAAGUUGCAGUUUCUCCAUCAACGCUCUGCUAGUUACUGAAAUGUCCAGUUUAAAUAAUUUACAUAAAAUCUUUCCAUAUUAUUUGAUGCUCUUUAAACUUGUUUUAACAGUUCAUUAUAAAAUGCAAAGUCACUUCAAAGACUGUUGUUUUCCAGCCGGCUGGAACAGCUGUAUACAUCUUCCAUACUUGUUCUCCUUGUUUUAACAACAAGGGUGGGAUCUUGGUACAUAUGGCUGAACUGAGUCUGUUCAUUGUUAAUCAAACAGUUAUAUUUUUGAUUAUUCUACUCUGUGAUCAAGUGUCCUUAUAAACACCCUAUUUAGUUUCAGUUCCUUUUUAUUUACUGCCUCUUUCAGCACGGGUGUAUUUCAUUAACUUGAUAACAUAAGAAUGUUUGAAUGAAAGUAUUAGCCUUAGUUCUUCACUUUAUUACUUAAACUACAAAAAAUCUAUAUAAAUACAACCACUUCUUCCCUAACAGGAUUGCCUAUGAGGUCGUAAAUCCUGCCAUUAAAGUUUACAGCAUUUUGCCCAAAGCUGUAUCACUUAUAGUUGACUUCUCUUUUAUACAGAUAAACUUCAUUUAAUCACAAUAUUAGAUUCUAUCAAGUUCCCUAUUUUUCAUUACUUUAUCUGGCACGUCAUAUAAUACCUUGACAUUUGAUAUAAACAAAAUUUCAUUCAUUCAUUCACAGACAGGAAAAAAAAUGGGAAAUCUCUCUAGCUGCCUGAGCAGUACACUCUUGCAAAAGACUGCAGCAACUCAGACAGUCUGAAGAAAUCUUGCCAUUAGACUGGGAUCUUUUUUUCUCUCAUUCCUCUGGCCUACAUUUUCUAAACAGCCUUGAUGCUUGGGCAAUUCUUAAGUAGUAAUAACUCAUAACUGUGGGUCCUUAGUUAUGACAGACAGACAGAAAUAAUUAAUUUAAAAGAGCUCUAAAAGGAUAAGAGACAGUAUAGCUGAUGAGUUCUAAUAAGCAUAUCUAUUGUUGCAAAAUGUGUUAAAAAUCUAUGCAUCCCACUAGGUCUUUCUCACAUAGUGCAUUUGUUAAUCUAAUGCAAGCCAUGAAUCAUUCAAUUACUCUUAGCUUUGUCAACCAUAUUUUCAGAAUUUGGAAUUUGUUUUUGCAACCAUAGUAAUGAAGUACAUUUACUGGAUGACCAACAUAUUGCAUAAACUUCCUGAAGACAUAAAGGUCCUGUUUUUAAUACCACUUGCAAAAGGUUAUACUACGAGGGCCUGAUUUACCACUGUCUUGCUGCACUGUUAUGCUGGUGCAACUCCACAGCUCUGGGUGGAGUUACACUGGCAUAAAAACUGGAGUAAGGGCUUGUCUACAUGUGAAAGUCAAUCCAGAACAAAGUAAGGCUACAUCUACACUACAGGGGGGAGUCGAUUUAAGAUACGCAAAUUCAGCUACGUGAAUAGCGUAGCUGAAUUCGACGUAUCGCAGCCGACUUACCCUGCUGUGAGGACGGUGGCAAAAUCGACCUCUGCGGCUUCCCAUCGACGGCGCUUAUUCCCACCUCCGCUGGUGGAGUAAGAGCGUCGAUUCGGAGAUCGAUUGUCGCGUCCCAACGGGACGCAAUAAAUCGAUCCCCGAGAGGUCGAUUUCUACCCGCCGAUUCAGGCGGGUAGUGUAGACCCAGCCUAAGGUGUGAAUUUAAAGUGGAUUAACUAUUCCUCAUUGACUCCAUGUAUUAACUCCAUGUAUGGACUCUCUUGUUCUGAAUUAGCUUAAUCCAAUUCCAAGGUGAUAGUGAAUCAGGCUCUAAAGAUCGAAUUCUUCAAACACUUUGCACUGGAUGCACUGCUUGAGUAAUAUGAUUAGUUUCAUUGAACCAAAUGGAACAUUGAUGCCAAUGGGACUACUCACUCACUAGUAUGCAUCAUGGCUCCAAGUUAACAGAAGUCUUAAACAUGUCCUUAACUUUAAGCAUGUGCUUAAGUCCCUGUGACUUAAGCAUUCUUUUAAGAGCUUUGCUGGAUAUGGAUGGACUUAAGCACAUGCUUAAGGACUUUGCUGACUCUGGCCCUGUGCCCAGUAAUAAGUGUUGCAGGACUAGACUAUACAAGCCUGAUUCACCAUUGCCAUAUACCUUGUAAAGUUAUUUUCACUAGUUUGAAGUGAGUGCACGGUGGGUUCUGAUUUGGGACUCCUCACAAAGUAAAGUACUACUCAGUCUAAGUAAAAGUGGCAGAAGCUGCUCCUGUGGUAUUUACCAGGAGAUGUGCAGAUAUUUAAUUUUAUUAAACACGUUUUGUAGGGGGAAAAUGAUGGUUCUUUUAGCCUAAAUAGGUUUUGUGUGUGGGUAUGAAAACACACACACACACACAUAUAGAGUCUGUUUCUAGUGACUGUUUUUCAAUGAAAUAUCUGUUUUCACUUUCUCUCUUUUCUGUAAUGAAAGUAGCCUAUACGGCAAACAGAACAAAGCCAGUAAGAUGUACUUUGGGAAAGUGAUUAUACUUUUUAAUGGUCAAAUAGCCAAGCUAUAUAUCAAGUUACAAGUAAAAGGGGCCUUGAUCCUGCUUCAGUAAAUCAGAAAUUAUUUUUGGUCAGUUGAGUAGCUGUAAUCUAUUCUCUACUAACAUUAAGUAGACAUCCUGGUGAGGGACUGAACAAGGGGAAAGGGCUCAGGUGAAAAUCAGAGGCAUAUCUUUUACUUGUCAGGAGAAUCCUCCCACCUCCAACCAACCAAUACUUAAACAAAAUAAAUCAGGACACAAGCCAAGCUCCUUACAAGCAAAUAAUGAGAUUCACAUGUCGUUUUUAGCUGUGCUUGGUCCUGAGACCAAAACAAAUGGUUAGACGCAAAGUAUAGUUCUCUCUAGUCUCACACAAAUAUAUCUUUGACUGUGAUGUCUAGGCUGUAAAACCCUGAUCCAUUUUUUACCUGGCUUCUUUCACUUGCUUUUACUCCUUUCUCCUUAAUUUGGCAGUUUGAUGCUUUAAGCUAAUAAUGGUCACCUGUGCAACUCUUUCUCAUUGUACUCUGGCUGACUUAUAAUAAUAAUUACAUACACAGAAUUAAAUUAAUACACAUUAAAAGAAAGUUAUCUAGGUCACAAUGUCAAGCACUUGAAAAUUAGAAAAUGCUAUUGACAAUUGCCCAUGCAACCUUAAUUGUGCCUUGUGCAUCCAUCCUGUGCACUGAAUGAGACAGGGGCCCUGUGGGGAAAAAUAGUAUAUGAUUGUGUAAUUAAAGGCUAUUGCAUAAUGCAUAUGUAAAAUGGGGCAAAAAUAACAUUGCCUGGGCAACCAUAAAUAUAACUGUGAUGUUGCACCCCAUAAAACAUUAUGGGAAUAUGCUUAUGAAUGUAUAUAUGACAUAACUGGAAUAUGUUUUAUGCUACAUAUGCCAUGUAACAUAUCUCUGUAAAGGUUAUGAUCUACUGAAUAUAUUCAUCCUAUUUGUAUGCAUGUAUCAUUUUUGUAUUCAAAGUUAUGAAUAUUGGCUAUGUACUUGUUUAAUUUUAAGUAGCCUCAGUAAAGCAGUUGGGCAGCUUCCUGAGAAAAGACUAUUCUCAGUAAGUGCCCAAUCAAGAAACACUUAAGCCAACGAUUAACUUGGAGACGCCAGUCCACAUCUGAGCUGUCCCAGGAGUGUGGCCUGGCUUGUAAGGAGCUCAGUCAUGCCUGGACAUGUGACUUGCCCAUGUGACUCCAAAACUCCAUCUUGGAGCUAAAUUCUGGAUAGGAGAGAGGAGGGGGUGUACACCCACAAGAGAAAGUCUAAGCCCCUGGGAGACCUUUCCAUUUUGUCUUCAGCUGGCUCAAGAGAGAGCCUCUCCACCCCAAAAGGAUACCUGAAAGAUACUGGAACAAAGGACAGUAACCAGAGGGGUGUGAGUGAUUGCUGGACCCAGACUAGAAGGAGGCUAGUCUGUAAAAGAAACUUACUGGAACAUCUCUGAGGGAGGGUCUGAAUCUGGAACCCGCACCACAGACUGGUUCCUCCAGAAGUGCAGGACUAACUACAUUAGCUAACAGCAAGAGAAGGUUGUUAUCCCACAGCAGGAGAAUUUGAGCCACUGGCACUGUGUGCUGGGUUUAGGGAGUAAUUAGGAGGAGUCUGGCCUGGCUUUCUCCCUCUCUCUUCCCUGGGAUAUGGAGGAUUCCUGCCCUGUGUGGUGCCCCCAAAGAUGCUGGCAAAAUUUUCCUGAGAAAAGCAAGCCACAGCAGGGAAAUGAUGGAGAAAUGGAGGCAGAAAGAGGUAUCCAGUGUCACAAAGCAAAUCAAUGGAAGAGCUGUGAAUAAGACCCAAGGCUCCUGACUCCCAGAACAGUGUCCUAUCCACUUGAUCACACUGAGAGCUAGCAGAGCCAAGUCCAUAUAUUGCUAGUAAAGAGUAAUUGUUUGCUAACGUGUUUUCAUAACCUCACUGUUUGAAUUGUGACUGCCAGUGAUAUCUUUUCUGGUUUUUAGUCUUUGUGAUUGGAGGAUGGAGCUGUGGGGUGAUCUCCUUUUCCUUCCUCCC